UUCCAGCUGACGAGUCUAAAAUAGGGCGAAACACGCAUCUUGUAU
Schistosoma curassoni is the source of this 45-nucleotide non-coding RNA. The record is from Rfam. NCBI's taxonomy places the organism in Eukaryota, Metazoa, Platyhelminthes, Trematoda, Strigeidida, Schistosomatidae.